CGCUGCCACCGCACCCCGCCAUGGAGCGGCCGUCGCUGCGCGCCCUGCUCCUCGGCGCCGCUGGGCUGCUGCUCCUGCUCCUGCCCCUCUCCUCUUCCUCCUCUUCGGACACCUGCGGCCCCUGCGAGCCGGCCUCCUGCCCGCCCCUGCCCCCGCUGGGCUGCCUGCUGGGCGAGACCCGCGACGCGUGCGGCUGCUGCCCUAUGUGCGCCCGCGGCGAGGGCGAGCCGUGCGGGGGUGGCGGCGCCGGCAGGGGGUACUGCGCGCCGGGCAUGGAGUGCGUGAAGAGCCGCAAGAGGCGGAAGGGUAAAGCCGGGGCAGCAGCCGGCGGUCCGGGUGUAAGCGGCGUGUGCGUGUGCAAGAGCCGCUACCCGGUGUGCGGCAGCGACGGCACCACCUACCCGAGCGGCUGCCAGCUGCGCGCCGCCAGCCAGAGGGCCGAGAGCCGCGGGGAGAAGGCCAUCACCCAGGUCAGCAAGGGCACCUGCGAGUCCUUCCAUAGUGACGCCCCCCAAGGACAUCUGGAAUGUCACUGGUGCCCAGGUGUACUUGAGCUGUGAGGUCAUCGGAAUCCCGACACCUGUCCUCAUCUGGAACAAGGUAAAAAGGGGUCACUAUGGAGUUCAAAGGACAGAACUCCUGCCUGGUGACCGGGACAACCUGGCCAUUCAGACCCGGGGUGGCCCAGAAAAGCAUGAAGUAACUGGCUGGGUGCUGGUAUCUCCUCUAAGUAAGGAAGAUGCUGGAGAAUAUGAGUGCCAUGCAUCCAAUUCCCAAGGACAGGCUUCAGCAUCAGCAAAAAUUACAGUGGUUGAUGCCUUACAUGAAAUACCAGUGAAAAAAGGUGCCGAGCUAUAAACCUCCAGAAUAUUAUUAGUCUGCAUGGUUAAAAGUAGUCAUGGAUAACUACAUUACCUGUUCUUGCCUAAUAAGUUUCUUUUAAUCCAAUCCACUAACACUUUAGUUAUAUUCACUGGUUUUACACAGAGAAAUACAAAAUAAAGAUCACACAUCAAGACUAUCUACAAAAAUUUAUUAUAUAUUUACAGAAGAAAAGCAUGCAUAUCAUUAAACAAAUAAAAUACUUUU
RNAcentral lists this long non-coding RNA (1089 nucleotides) under Homo sapiens (human). RNAcentral's name for it is "long non-coding RNA NONHSAT199989.1". The record is from RNAcentral. Lineage: Eukaryota; Metazoa; Chordata; Mammalia; Primates; Hominidae.